GCAAACAUGAUGCUAGAGAUAUGUACAGUAUGUGGUCAACACUUAGCAUAUAAUAGGUCCAACUCCUAUCUUAAGAUCUGCGCUCAUAAUUUGAAUGUAGUGCUUUUUUCACAUCAUGGCAUGAAUUACCUGCCCAUAUCUUUAGUUAAGAUAUGGAAAAUCUGCACGUCUCAAGAGAGCACAUCUCAUUAAAACACAUUUCGGGCCAGUUUCUCAGACACAUGAAGUGUAUACCUCAGGCCCUUAUAUAUCAAGCACGUGCUAGGAUCAGGUUCCCCCUGUCCAUGUAAUGUUAUUAAUUGAAAAGGAUAAACUGAUCCCAAGUCAGCACUCCUACUCUAAGAGGUUUGACACAUACAGCACCUGGACUAAUACUUAAUCCCUUACAAUGGAGUUUUUCCAUUGAACAAGAUUUUUUGUACACCGCUAGGCUUAAUAUGUGUCCGGAAAUCGGAUCUUGGUGUAUGAUUAAUUUACUUUCUCAGCAGAGCAAUCAAUUGCAAAGAAUCUGUCUUCGUUUUUCACUUCAGUGUCUGAAAUUGUGCCUUUAACAUGGCCUGUUCAGUGAUUUAAUGGCUAGGCAGCCACCAUGUGGCUGACUCCUAAUUCUUGGAGUUGAUGUAUCUUGGGCCCCCAAGCUGGGGCAUUAAUUGAUGCCACUUCAACCCAGUGUGGGGCACCCCAGUUCAAAGCCCUCACUCUCCUCACGGUACCCCAGACGCUCUGGUGCAGAGAAAUACACACAACCUCCUGUAUCCCCAUCAGUGCCUCUUUUUAAUCUUUGAGAAAAUAUCUGACUGGGGCUGAUUCAAUCUGAUUGCGGGUUAUAGGCAAUGUGGUUUUAAAGGCAAUCUUCCCAGGUUUGUGGAGAUCCAAUUCACAGUAAACGCUGUAAAUGUUGGCUCAAUCGGAAAUUGCCUUUAAAAGCUGCAAUGCCUAUAUCCUGGCCUAACUUUAUGUGUUGCUGUCACGUUCUGACCUUAGUUCCUUUUUUAUGUCUUUAUUUUGGUUUGGUCAGGGCGUGAGUUGGGGUAGGCAUUCUAUGUUGUUUUUCUAUGUUUGGAUUUCUGUGUUUGGCCUGGUAUGGUUCUCAAUCAGAGGCAGCUGUCGAUCGUUGUCUCUGAUUGAGAAUCAUACUUAGGUAGCCUGUUUUCCCACUAUGGGUUGUGGGUAGUUGUUUUCUGUGUCUGUGUUUGUGUCUGUCCAUACAGAACUGUUUCAGUCUCGGUCAUUCUCUUUUUGUUUUGUCAUUCAGUGUUCAGUUGUUUUCAUUAAAAUGGACACUUACCACGCUGCACAUUGGUCCGAUCUUUCAUACUCGUCAUCAGACGAGGACGAGUACCGUUACAGUUGCGUUUUCUCAUGGGUGGUUGUAUAUGCAUUUGAAGAUGAAAAAUAGAUAGCACACCCAAUGAAGUUCAAUUACACCCUGGGUAAAUUCAAAUUAAUAUUAUGCAGUGGGGGAAUAUAGCAAUUUAUGACUUUUUCCUUUGAGUAAAAGAUACAUUGAUGAAUAAGGAUGAGUAAGGAGGUUAUAUAUUCAAAAUAUUUUUUUUAGGACUCUAUAAAAUCUGAUCGCUGUAACGUUAAAGAUUGCGCAAUAGAAAUGUCAUGGUAAUUUCAACAUUUGUUUAGAGACAUAUUAUUUCACUUAGAAUUCACUGUAUCACAAUUCCAGUGGGUCAGAAGUUUACAUACACUAAGUUGACUGUGCCUUUAAACAGCUUGGAAAAUUCCAGAAAAUUAUGUCAUGGCUUUAGAAGCUUCUGAUGGGCUAAUUGACAUAAUUUGAGUCAAUUGGAGGUGUACCUGUGGCUGUAUUUCAAGACCUACCUUCAAACUCAGUGCCUCAUUGCUUGACAUCAUGGGAAAAUCAAAAGAAAUCAGCCAAGACCUCAGAAUUGUUUUUUUAGACUCCUCAUUCUUGGGAGCAAUUUCCAAAUGCUUGAAGGUACGAUAUUCAUCUGUACAAACAAUAGUACACAAGUAAAAACACUAUGGGAACACACUGCCAUCAUACCGCUCAGGAAGGAGACACGUUCUGUCUCUUAGAGACGAACGUACCUUGGUGCGAAAGUGCAAAUCAAUCCCAGAAAAACAACAAAGAACCUUGUGAAGAUGCUUGAGGAAACCGGUACAAAAGUAUCUAUAACCACAGUAAAACAAGUCCUAUAUCGACAUAUCCUGAAAGGCUGCUCAGGAAGGAAGAAGCCACUGUUUCAAAACUGCCAUAAAAAAGCCAGACUACAGUUUGCAAAUGCACAUGGGGACAAAUAUUGCACUUUUUUGAGAAAUGUCCUCUGGUCUGAUGAAACAUAAAUAGAACUGUUUGGCCAUAAUGACCGUCAUUAUGUUUGGAGGAAAAAGGGGGAGGGCUUGAAAGCCGAAGAACACCAUCCCAACCGUGAAGCAUGGGGGUGGCAGCAUCAUGUUGUGGGGGUGCUUUGCUGCAGGAGGGGCUGGUGCAUUUCACAAACUAGAUGGCAUCAUGAGGAUGGAAAAUUUUGCAAUAUUUUGAAGCAACAUCUCAAGACAUCAGUCAGGAAGUUAAAGCUUGGACGCAAAUGGGUCUUCCAAAUGGACAAUGACACCAAGCAUACUUCCAAAGUUGUGGAAAAAUGGCUUAAGGACAACAAAGUCAAGGUAUUGGAGUGGCCAUCACAAAGCCCUGACCUCAAUCUUACAGAAAAUUUGUGGGCAGAACUGAAAAAGCGUAUGCGAGCUAGGAGGCCUACAAACCUGACUCAGUUACAGCAGCUCUGUCAGGAAAAAUGGGCCAAAAUUCACCCAACUUAUUGUGGGAAGCUUGUGGAAGGCCACCCGAAACGUUUGAACCAAGUUAACCUGCAACAAUUUUGCUACCAAAUACUAAUGGAGUAUGUGUAAACUUCUGACCAACUGGAAAUGUGAUGGAAGUAAUAAAGGCUGGGAAUAAAUCAUUAUCUCUACUAUUAUUCUGACAAUUCACAUUCUUAAAAUAAAGUGGUGAUCUUAACUGACCUAAGGCAUGGGAUUUCUACUAGGAUUAAAUGUCAGGAAUUGUGAAAACGGAGUUUAAAUGUACUUGGCUAAGGUGUAUGUAAACUUCCGACUUCAACUGUAGCCCUACAGAAUUCUAGACUAAUACAUUGACUUUUUUAAUGAAUUGAGUUGAAUCAAGUCUAAUCGAGUUAAAUGUUGCGUUAAUAUAGCAGUAUUGAAUUCAUUGCGUCAGGUUGAUUUAGCAGAUAAGAGUGAAGUGAAAACCCCACGGUACAAAAAAUAAGUCUUCAUAAAGCACCGGUAGGUAACCCGUCUUUUGAACGUAAGGAGAUUACAGUAUAAUCAGAAUGUUUGCUCCUUACUAAUGAGUGUGGUGUAUGUGAUAUUCUGCCAGCCAGAACAAUAUGGAUUAACAUCCACCUUCAGACCUAGGAUGAGAUAUAAAAAAGGAUGAGACAGAUUAUGUCCGAAGAGAGAACAGGAAGUCGUAGACUAUACACAGCAGACAGUUUCAUUUAGUUCCAUUCAGCUCUGGGGGCUCUAUUGGAAACUCAGUGCCCUCUAAAAUCUUUAGGUUUAUGAAACCACCGACUGAUCCAGUUUUUCAUCUCGUUUUAGCUUCAGGCUAUCCAUAGAGGGUCAUACUGAACUCAGUGACCUUAGCAUGUUAUCCAAUGAUGAACCCGGGUUUGAUCUUCAAUGGGACGCCAUUGGUGUGUGUAAGUUAUUUGUUGUCUUUUCAAACCCCCCACCCUCCUCCCCACCCCGGCGAGUGUAUCAGUAACAUCAUCAAAGCAUCAAAAGGGCUGCGUUCAGGCACAACUGGUGUAUUGUACUGUAUGUGUAAACAAAUGUUGCUGGCCUUAAAGGAGAGACACACUAGCACUUCAGAAGUUUCCUACGAGCCGAGGGAAGCAGGUGAAAAAAUAGAAAGUGCAUUGAACUUUGAACCCAAGUUCCGUGUUGGGGUCAACGCUUCCUUCAAUGGUAUCCUUUCAGAGAAGCCAAAGUGUGUGUGUGUGCGUGUGCGUGUGCGUGUGCGUGUGCGUGUGCGUGUGCGUGUGCGUGUGCGUGUGCGUGUGCGUGUGUGUGUGUGUGAGAGAGAGAUAAAAAGAGACUGUGUUUGUGUGAUACUGCGUGUGUGUGAUAGUGUGUUUCUGUGUGUGUGCCAGAGCAUGUGUAUGUGAGUGAAUGAGAAUGUGUAUGCGUGAUACUGCGUGUGUGUGUAGCUGCGAGGGGAGCUCAUCUUGCCUCUGUCUCUUUGAAGCCUCUAUGCUAUAAUAGUGAGCUGUUUUUAUACAGCGAUGGCCGCCGACACUGACUUCCUGUCUCGGCAUAUCCUUCGUCGUCUCGGCGGACACUUCAGAAAAACUUCCCUGGCCAAACACCUUUCUCACAUUAAAGGCUGGGAGGAGGGGGCAGAAUGCUGAUGUCUCACACAAUAUGCACAUUUCUGUUAGUGAUUAUUUUUGUCCAUGUAAGAAAGUGUCAAAAAAUAUUUAUAACAAAAGAGGAAAAGUUGAUAAGCGGAUGAUAAAAUUAUGUGCAACUUUUCAAUUGAAACAUUGGUUUCCUCUUUUUGGAGGGAAAAUCGUAAGAUGAAAAAGGUUCUGUGGUCAAACAGUCUUCUUAUAUUAAAACUGCAGAGGAUGGGAGGAGAGGAGGGAAGAACGAUAGGGAUGGAUGAGAGGUGAAGGGUCCUGACCCCACCCCAGUUAGGAAGAGAACAGAGACAUGUCAGUCAAAAUAAACACAGCAACACAAACCGUUUGAAUGGCCAAACCCCAUCUGCCGAUGCACCUCACAGACAGUAAACAGUGCUUGAAAUACACCCCCAGAGUAAAAUAAUGCAGCGUAUUGUGCAAGAAUGCAAUAACCAGUAGACUUCCAGUAUGGCAACCGAAAGCACUCCCUAGCGGAGCUGGGCUCAAAUAGUAUUUGAGAAUAACAUAACUUUAUUGAUCCUCAAGGGAACCCCAAGGGGAAAUAAAUGUAUAUUCUAUAAAGGUUUUUAAAUACUUUUUGAACACAGGUCUGCUCCCGGGGGCUAGCCAAGUUAAACACAGUUUUACAAUGCCUGUUCUAGAUACACAAAUGCACGGUGCUCCUCACAGCUGAGAUAACAUGGGGGUCAGAGAUGAAAGAGGAGAGGGUUCACAGAGGAUGGGUUCCACAUGGUCCCGGGAACCAGGCCACACAGAUGGAAUACAGAAUCGUAGAUAGACAUGUGACUAGUGUUUGCUUCUAGAGCACCAGCUUCUUACAAGAUGUUUAAGCAAAGCCAUAUGGGAUCAAAUCUGUGGAGCUUGAAUGUAUACCAGGGUACUAGCAAUGGUUAAGGAGUUAACACAAUCGCUCUCUUUUUAUCCUAUCCAAUAAACAUUAAAGCUUAAAUCCUUAGUUGCUAAAUCCAUUCUUAGACUUAUAAAUUAAUGAUAUAUACCCAUUGAUUAUUGAAGAACAUAACUUAUAAAUGAGCUUAGUUCAACUGUCGUACCCAUUCAGAACCCAUCAUAUUGGCUUGUUCUACUCCAUUGUUUGUAAACAAUGUAAAUGUAAACAAACACUGUACAGUCUCAAAGCAUAGCCUGGUUGUAGUCUCUGUUCAGCUAUUACAUUCCACAAUGUGCCAGUCAUGUCAUUUGCCAAAGAGUUCUUCAAAUAUUAGCAGUCUAUCAUUAAUGAUCUGGAGGAGAUCAGAGGAUUUGAUUCUGACUCAAUAACCCUCACCCAAUUGGGCAAGGAGGUCAAGUCUAUCCUACAUUGGUUCAAGAAACAAAAUGAAUUUAACCAGUGUGCUCCAAGUGGGACUGCUAUCAUCCAAUCAAAAUGUUUAUGCAAAUUAGACAGUUUUCCUAAUAAACUGAAUUCAUACAUUUGAUAUGAAACAUUCUAACAUUGGGGAGUCUCAUGUAAUACAUUUUAUUAUAAACAGAGAAAUAUGGCGCUGGAAGAACAGAGGAUUCCCGUUCAUUUGUAUUUUUACCACCAGCCAUAGUGAUCACAUCAUACCAGAAAAGCUCUCGCCCUUCAAACGUCCCUGCAAGUUCAUUGUGAACACGGCAGUCUAUUUUAUUUCCAGCAAGCAAGAGCAAGGUGCUUCUUUCCUCGAAUAUAUCUUUUUUAUUAUUACUCAAAAUAAGUGACCAAGCUAUACUGCUACUUCUGGGACACGCAUAGGGCUAGGCUAUUGGUUCAAGAGCUAUACGAGGAAUGGAGAGAGGCCAGCGAAGAUGCUAGUGAAGAUGCAUGAAUUGCGCAAGAUUGCACAUGAACGGCGUGUAUUACAUGUAGUGCACGAAUUAUACAAAGAGGUGUAAAUUAGAAGUUCCGUCAUAGGCUGAGCUAUUAACCCAUCAUCCGUAUAACAGCCUGUAUUUUAGGCCUUGCCUACUACAGUGAAUUUGGGCAACCACCUGUGCUGUGCAAGCCAGAGACAAAAAACAUAUUUUGGGUGACGCACAUUAACAAAUGUGUCAGUUUAAUUAAAAGUGCAAUAAAAAAGUAUAGAGCCUUGGCCUAUGUAAUGAAACCUUGUCGGCAACAGAUCACAAAUCAGGGAAUCCCCAAUUCCCCACUGAGGUCCUUCUUGGAAAUGGCAAGUUCACUUUCUCAUCAAUACAUUUAUAUCAAGUGCAAGUGUGCUAUCCAGCAGCUCACAUCAACAGGAUGGGGGGCCUUUUCAUUAGACGUCUAAUGUGGAUGGCUAAAAUACACUGCUCAAAAAAAUAAAGGGAACACUUAAACAACACAAUGUAACUCCAAGUCAAUCACACUUCUGUGAAAUCCAACUGUCCACUUAGGAAGCAACACUGAUUGACAAUACAUUUCACAUGCUCUUGUGCAAAUGGAAUAGACAAAAGGUGGAAAUUAUAGGCAAUUAGCAAGACACCCUCAAUAAAGGAGUGUUUCUGCAGGUGGUGACCACAGAUCACUUCUCAGUUCCUAGUUCCUAUGCUUCCUGGCUGAUGUUUUGGUCACUUUUGAAUGCUGGCGGUGCUUUCACUCUAGUGGUAGCAUGAGACGGAGUCUACAACCCACACAAGUUGCUCAGGUAGUGCAGCUCAUCCAGGAUGGCACAUCAAUGCGAGCUGUGGCAAGAAGGUUUGCUGUGUCUGUCAGCGUAGUGUCCAGAGCAUGGAGGCGCUACCAGGAGACAGGCCAGUACAUCAGGAGACGUGGAGGAGGCCGUAGGAGGGCAACAACCCAGCAGCAGGACCGCUACCUCCGCCUUUGUGCAAGGAGGAGCACUGCCAGAGCCCUGCAAAAUGACCUGCAGCAGGCCACAAAUGUGCAUGUGUCAGUAUAUGGUCUCACAAGGGGACAAAAAUGUAAUGAUGAUCAGCAUUCCGUUCCUUCAGAAAGUCCUUUAGACACACCCCUUUACUUUUUCCUAUUCUGUUGUGUUACAAAGAGGGAUUCAAAUGUAUUAAAUGGUAAUUUGUUGUCAUCGAUCUACACAAAAUAUUCUGUAAUAUCAAAGUUGACAAAAAUGUGAAUAUUUGUACGAAUAAAUAUGAAAAAUUAAACACGAAAAUAUCUUCAUUAGAAAAAUAAUUCACAUCACUUGACUUGUUCCAUAUUUUGUUGUGGUAGUCUCAAUUUAAAAUUAAUUAAACUGAUAUUUUGUGUCACUGGCCUACACACAAUACCUCAUGAUGUCAAAGUGGAAUUAUGUUUUUUUUGUUUUUGUUUUUUUUUAUUAAUAAAAAAUGAAAUGUAAAAAUGUAUUGUGUUCAAAGAGUAUUCAACCCCUUUGCUACGGCAUGCCUUCAGGAGUAAACAUUUGCUUAACAACUCACAUUAUAGGUUGCAUGGACUUCUGUCUGUGUGCAAUAAUAGUGUUUAACAUGAUUGUUGAACGACUACCUCAUCUCUAUAGCCCACACAUAUGAUUACCUGGAAGGUUCCUCAAUCGAGCAGUGAAUUUCAAACACAGAAUCAACCACAAAGACCAGGGAGAUUUUGCAAUGCCUCUCAAAGAAGGGAACCAUUUAGUAGACUCAAGGUUUAGAAUAGUUACGUAAUUAAAAUAUAUUACUCUUUAACUUCUACUUCAUCCCAAUCCCGGAUCCGGGAGCACCCCCAUCAGUAAAAAAGCUGACUAGCAUAGCCUAGCAUAGCGUCACAAGUAAAUACUAGCAUCUAAAUAUCAUUAAAUCACAAGUCCAAGACACCAGAUGAAAGAUACACAUCUUGUGAAUCCAGCCAUCAUUUCUGAUUUUUAAAAUGUUUUACCGGGAAGACACGAUAUGUAUUUCUAUUAGCUAACCACGAUAGCAAAAGACACAACUUUUUUUCCCACCAUUUUUUUUCCUGCAUAGGUAGCUAUCACAAUUUCGACCAAAUAAAGAUAGAAAUAGUCACUAACCAAGAAACAACUUCAUCAGAUGACAGUCUGAUAACAUAUUUGUUGUAUAGCAUAUGUUUUGUUAGAAAAAUGUGCAUAUUUCAGGUUUAAAUCAUAGUUUUACAUUGCAGCCACCAUCACAACUCUCACCAAGGUAACUAGAAUAACUACAGAGACCAACGUGAAUUACCUAAAUACUCAUCAUAAAACAUUUAUGAAAAAUACACAGCGUACAGCAAAUGAAAGACAAAGAUCUUGUCACGAAUCCCGCUUCCUGAGUCUGUUUUUGCCUGUGUUCUGUCCUGGAAUGUUUUUUCCGGUGUCCUGGAACACACCCUGUCUGGUUGCCGGGCGACGUAGCUAGUUGGAGGAUCUCUGAGUACCCGCACCUGUAUCCCAUCAGCUAUCUGCACACCUGGUCCUGAUCAUCACCCCUCCACUUCAUAAGCGCUGACCUGACAUCCAUUCCCUGCCGGAUCGUUAGCCACGAACAGUAUGUUGUGCCAGCGUAUCAGCCUCCAGUUUGAUAGAGUUUGUUUUGUUGUUUUGUACGUCUUGCUUGCCUUGAACUCACCUCCGUUUUUUCUGUCUACAGUCAUUCACCCGGAACACUCAUCCCAUCCCUACCUGGUCGUCGGUGACUUCAGUUACUUCCUUGGAUCUGCCAAUUCAAUCCCAUCAACUCACCUCCGCGGCCCGUACCGCCACUUGGAUUUUUCUAUCACUACAUUUAAACUUGUAAAUAAAUACUCACCUUCGUCUUACUCUCCUUGUCCUGGUCUGCUUCUGGGUUCUACUUUGGAAACCCGUGACAGAUCUUGUGAAUCAAGCCAAUAUUUCUGAUUUUUUAAGUGUUUUACAGCGAAAACACAAUAUAGCAUUAUAUUAGCUUACUACAAUAGCCAACCACACAGCAGCAUUGAUUCAAGCCAACAAUAGCGAUAACGAAUAAACCAGCAAAAGAUAUAAAUUUUUUCACUAACCUUCUCAAACCUCUUCAGAUGACAGUCCUAUAGCAUCAUAUUACACAAUACAUAUAGAGUUUGUUCGAAAAUGUGCAUAUUUAGCGGCACAAAUCGUGGUUAUACAAUGAGAAUAGUAGCCAAGCUGACAACAAAAUGUUGGGAGAAAUCUUGGGAGGCACCUAAUCUAAUCAUUAACUAAUCAUAAACUUGACAAAAAAAUACAGGUUGGACAGCAAAUGAAAGAUACAUUAGUUCUUAAUGCAACCGCUGUGUUACCUUUUUUAAAUUAACGUUACUACGACAUACAGCGUGAAAAGAGGAGUUCUAUAGGAUUGCAGAUGGUCUGCAAUGCUGACUGUGUGAUCAGCAAUGUUGUGGCAAAAUGGCCUGGCUCAGUCCAUGACUCCAGAAUCUUUCGGGCCUCUGAAAUCUAUCAGUGCCUAUCACAAGGUGAAUUCUCUGGUAUGUUGCUGGGAGACAGGGGGUAUGGCUGCCAGCCUUUUCUCCUGACAACUUUCACAGACCCCCAGGAAGCACAGCAGGCCUACAACCAUGCCCAUGCCAGGACCAGGGCCAGAGUUUAAAUGACCUUUGGCCUCCUGAAGGCACGCUUUCACUGCCUUCACAAAUUAAGGGUCAGCCCUGUUAGGGCAUGUGAUAUUACUGUGGCUUGUGCUGUCCUCCACAAUGUGGCCUGCCUGAGGAAGGAGAGGGCCCCCAGAGUGCCACCAGCCAUGGACUGGGACAAUCCGGCAAUCUUCCCUGAUGACGACAGUGGUCGGCUGCUGAGGGACCAAUAUGUGUUGAAUUAUUUUAGUUAGUAUGUGUGCUUUCAAUUUUGGUUAAAUAUGUCCUGCGGUGGCAGAGGAAUUUGGUUUUUUUUGGGUUCGUUUUUUUACGAAUUUGGCCUCUUAUGAUGUUUGUGCGGUAUACUGUGUGUAAUACAAGGCUGCAGGGAGGCUACUGCAUCCAUUCAUUUGUCUGUUCAGUUGAUGUGUAUGGAUUUGUCCUGCAUUUAUUUUAGUGUGCAGACAUGCAGGGUGUGUUAUAUACAGACCUUUGAAUGUGUAUGUAUCAUUUUGUAUAAUAUGCUUGGAUUCUGUGCUUUCCAUCUUGUAGAGUCACUGUGUCUUCAGUUUCGAAAGGAGCUGAUGGUUUACCU
Salvelinus fontinalis (brook trout) is the source of this 10459-nucleotide long non-coding RNA. RefSeq lists it as uncharacterized. The transcript is spliced from 3 exons. The record is from RefSeq and is a predicted model, not a curated record. NCBI's taxonomy places the organism in Eukaryota, Metazoa, Chordata, Actinopteri, Salmoniformes, Salmonidae.